RNAcentral lists this ribosomal RNA (1520 nucleotides) under Candidatus Roizmanbacteria bacterium. Its description in RNAcentral is "bacterial SSU rRNA". It matches the Rfam family "Bacterial small subunit ribosomal RNA". The record is from RNAcentral. Lineage: Bacteria; Candidatus Roizmaniibacteriota.
UUUUUUAAGAGUUUGAUCCUGGCUCAGGAUGAAUGUUGGCGGCGUGCCUGAGAUAUGCAAGUCGAACGUCUUUUCUGCCGCAAGGUGGAAAGGUAGUGGCGGACGGCUGAGUAACACGUAGGGACUUACCUCUUUUUGAAGGAUAGCCCAUCGAAAGGUGGGAUAAUACUUCAUAGUAUGAAUACCGUAAGGUAUUUGUUAAAGGGAAUAACUUCUUGAAAAGAGAUGGACCUGCGGCUUAUCAGAUAGUUGGUGGGGUAACGGCCUACCAAGUCUACGACGAGUAGCUGGCCUGAGAAGGUGGUCAGCCAGAGGGGGACUGAGACACGGCCCCCACUCCUACGGGAGGCAGCAAUCAGGAAUAGUCGGCAAUGGACGAAAGUCUGACCGCGCGACGCCGCGUGUAGGAAUAAGCUCUAACGAGCGUAAACUACUGUGAUAGAGGAAGAAGUCCGCCAGCUGGCGGAUUGACGGUACUCUAUAAGAAAGGGGCCGCUAACUGCGUGCCAGAAGCGUCGGUAAUACGUGGGCCCCAAACAUUAUCCGGUUUUACUGGGUGUAAAAAGUAGUGUAGGUGUCUUGAUAAGUCUUGUUUUAAAUACUGUGGCUUAACCAUAGGAAAGGGCAGGAGACUGUUAAGAUAGAGUUUGCUUUAGGGAAACUGGAACUCAGGGAGGAGUAGUGAAAUGCGUUGAUACCCUGGGGAACACCAGUGGCGAAGGCGAGUUUCUGAAAGCAGACUGACACUGAGACACGAAAGCUAGGGGAGCGAAGCAGAUUAGAGACCUGCGUAGUCCUAGCCCUAAACGUAUGCUUGCUAGCCGCAUUUUCUACCAUUUGGUGGGAGGUGUAGCGAAGGUAACCCGUUAAGCAAGCCACCUGGGGAGUACGGCCGCAAGGUUGAAACUCAAAGGAAUUGGCGGGGAGGCACACAACCAGUGGAACAUGUGGUUUAAUUCGAAACGAACCGAAGAACCUCACCAGGGUUUGACAUGCUAUCGUACAUUCUGCUAGAAAUAGUGGGAAAUCCGCAAGGAUGAUAGCACAGGUGCUGCAUGGCUGUCGUCAGCUCGUUCCGUGAGGAGUACCCUUAAGUGGGACAACGAGCGCAACCCUUAUCUUGUGUUAUAUUUGUCACAAGAGACGGUCCCGACUUAGUCGGGAAGGAAGGUGGGGCAGACGUCAAGUCAGCAUGGUCCUUAUGCCCUGGGCUACACACAUGUUACAAUGGAUAGGAACAACGGGUUUUGCCACGAAGCAAUUCGGAGCAAAUCCCUGAAAUCUAUCCUCAGUGGGGAUUGAGGUCUGCAACUCGACCUCAUGAACACGGAAUUGGUAGUAAUCGCGGAUCAGUCAUGCCGCGGUGAAUACGUUCUUGCCUCUUGCACACACCGCCCGUCAAGCCAACAAAGUCGAUGAUAUUUGAAUCUCGAUAUAAUCGGGAGAGGAUAUUACCGGCGAUGGGGGUUAAGUCGUAACAAGGUAACCGUUCUGGAAGGAGCGGUUGGAUCACCUCCUUU